UUUCAGAGGCUCAUGGCUGUUCCUCUUGAGGAGAAGACCAUGGCCCAGUUAGACAUGCACUCAAGUCAGCUGAUCUGAAUCAUUCCUGCCAAAGGAGGAGCAACACGCCAAAAGACUGCUGACAUAUGGACACUUUGGACCAGACUGAGGACAUUCAUCUUCGGAGGGAGUGUGUCCUGAAAGCCCUCAUCAUCUUCCUGGAAGAAGAGAGACAAGAUGACCUGAUCAAGGAAUAUCUUGACUCUAGAGCAGAUGAGGGGCCUGGAGCAGCUCACCAUGGCAGUGUUUGUCAUUUGGAAGGAGGGGGAAGGACUGCAGGAGCCACCUGAAGACAAUGGCAUUGUCACUGACGGCGUGGAGCUGUGCAUGAACUGACUUAAGUUGCCUCAGAUUGUACCCUGCUUCUAGGUUUGAUAUAUUCACUCAACCUAGCUUAUCCAGAACCCCUUCAUUUCACUUUUGAAGUAGUACAAGCAGCACAAGAUGUCCCCCAAAGUCCAAAAUCUGUGUGGCAGACUUCAAAACUUGCAGUAAUGAUACACUACGAUAUAUUCCUCCUCUGGGCUAUAAAAUGGCCUAGUGCCAUAUUGUGGAAGCACAAUGGUGUUUAAACACAGAACAUGUAAAAAUAAAGCCUCUUUUGGAUGUUGGAUCUUUGUAUGCACCAAGAGACAGUCAAGAGACACAACAAAUAUUCCAUAAACCAAAAUGUGAAAGCUUUUUUAACAGGUUUUUGUAGGUGCAGAAGUUAUCGUUUUAUCCAAACAUGUUUCUUUCUAUUUGUGGUGAAAGGUUGCAUUUCAGUUUUGAUGUGUUCCAAAAAACAGUUGCAUAUCACACAGUAUCUGUAGAGCAGAAGCUAUGUUAAUGGUUAGAGCUCCCAGGAAGAACUCACUGUGGUGUUAAUAUGUUGGUUUUAUGUGUUGUAUGUCUAUUUACCACAAAUGUGUACCGUUAACAUCACUGCUGACAAUUUUCAAGAGCAUACCACAGCAUGUAUGUUAGAAUGUAACGCAUUUCCCUCCUUCCAGGAAGCCAUUGGUUUCAGUGAGUAUUAGUACUAGUA
This is a long non-coding RNA of Thunnus maccoyii (southern bluefin tuna), 1066 nucleotides long. RefSeq lists it as uncharacterized. The transcript is spliced from 3 exons. Lineage: Eukaryota; Metazoa; Chordata; Actinopteri; Scombriformes; Scombridae. The record is from RefSeq and is a predicted model, not a curated record.